This is a long non-coding RNA of Prunus dulcis (almond), 890 nucleotides long. RefSeq lists it as uncharacterized. The transcript has 3 exons. The record is from RefSeq and is a predicted model, not a curated record. NCBI's taxonomy places the organism in Eukaryota, Viridiplantae, Streptophyta, Magnoliopsida, Rosales, Rosaceae.
GUUUGGAGUUCAAUACCAAACAAGUUUUUAGAUCUUAAAUUCACUAUUUGAAAACUCAUGUUUUUAAACAGAAUCAUAGUUUUUUAAUUUACUCUUUUGAAUAGGAUACCAAACAAGGCCUUAGUGUCUGAAGAUGAAGGAAAGGAAAUGGAAGAUGAUGAUGAAGCGAGUUUCGGAUUGAAGAAGAAAAGAUUUCGGUCGAUUUCGGAUCUGUCCAAGUUGAUAGAGCCUCUUAAUCUUGUUAUUGUUGCGAAGGAAACAAAAAGGAAGAGGAGGAUGAUUAUGUCAAAUUAAUUAGACUUCCAAGUGGUUGUUGUUCUUGUAAUUAGCCUCACCCUUUAAGUGAAUGAUAUCUAUUUAUUAUUAUUCAUAUCAAACUUUUCUUGAGGAUGAACAUUCUCUCUUCGCUUCACUCUUCAAUUGGUUUCUUUAUUUUCUAUUUUGGUUCGAAAAAUUGGUCAAUUAAUAUCACAAUUAUCUCUAUUAUUAUAAAGCAAGGCCAAAAACAGUGGAGGUCACAGACUUCACCAAAAAAAUUUGGACGAAAACUCCCCCAAAACAAAAAAAAAAAUUCAUAACUAUCCUCCAACUUAAUCAAUCCCAUAACCUCCUUUAUAACUCAAAUAUCCUCUCUGAGUAGUUUUCUUUUGCCUCAUCCUCUCUCUAUAUUACAAGAUUAUAUGGUGGUGUUCCUUUUCUUCAAAUUAAAGUUUGUUGCAGGAAAUUGUAGAUGCAAAUCUCUGUUUGGCUUCUGAGAAGAUGAAGGAAAAGAAUCCAAAUAGUUGAAAGAUGAUGCACAAUCUUUAAGUGGUGCAUAGCACAAAUGAAGGACUCUCACGGGUGUAGGAGCGCUUGUAGAGAGGCUAAUAUUAUAAUAUAUCAACAGUCAC